Molecule: non-coding RNA, 421 nt
Organism: Pelobates cultripes (western spadefoot toad)
Lineage: Eukaryota; Metazoa; Chordata; Amphibia; Anura; Pelobatidae
Source: the annotation of a GenBank genome assembly
CCGCCGUGGCGAAAACGCGAACAUGCUAUGUUCGCCGGGAACCGCUCGCCAGCGAACUGUUCGGUACAUCACUACCAAUCACACAUCCCUGUGACGGCAACUUUGCAUUCGGAUGUCAUCCAUAUCAACUUUCGAUGCCAGUUUCUGCACCUACCAUGGUGACCACGGGUAACGUGGAAUAAGGGUACCAUUCUGUAUUACAUACAGGGACCCUGAGAAACGGCUACCACAUGCAAGUAAGGCAGCAGACGCUUAAAUGACCCACUCCUGACGCGGGAAGGUAGUGACGACAAAUAAUACAGAACUCUUUAGAGGACCUGUAAUUAUAAUGUGUCCACUUGAAAUCCUUUAACUCUGAUCAAUUGGAGUGAAGUCUGGUGCAGAGCCACUGACCCGUGCGUGCUGCAGCUGAAACUCCACU